UUUAAUGUUCUCAGCUGUAACAGUGUAGUACAAAUAGACCUUUUUUUUGUGGCAAUAGAUGUUUUUGGUAGAGCUGUGUGAGAAACCAAUUGACAACUGUGUAAUGUAUUGCAUCGACGGAUUUGUACGCAGGAUUUAAGGAGAAAGAGAUGAAGAAGGAAGAAGGAGAAUAAUUGUAAGUAUUCAAACCCGAAAAAGUGUUCUGUAAAGAUUUGUUCUAUGUUGUCUGUUCUAAUUAAGUUGUAGAUGCAUGAUCAGGAUUCAGGGCAAAGAUCAAUUAAGUAUGUUCUUAUUAUGUUGCUAAUUAAACUCAAGUUUGUGGUACUUUACAAGUAACAACGCCUUAUAACUAUCCAUAUAUACAUUAUUUGAUGUUAAACAACAUCAAAUCUUUGUGCCGGGAUGUUAUUAAGAAAAGAACUUGGUUCAAGUUUCUUAAUCACUUGUUUUUACAAUAAUUUCAGUUGUAAUAGUGUUCUCUUUUAAGAUCUUGAUCAGUAGUAAGAAAAUAACUUUUCGCUUCUAUCCAAAUGAAAAAAAAAAAAAAAACAAAGCCGGCCUUUUGCUUAAGGCAGAUAUAUGUAACAUUAGCAUUUAGAUAACAAUCUAAUUAAGUUAAAG
Molecule: long non-coding RNA, 621 nt
Filed under: Capsella rubella
Lineage: Eukaryota; Viridiplantae; Streptophyta; Magnoliopsida; Brassicales; Brassicaceae
Description: long non-coding RNA (CRUB_LNC004380)
Source: RNAcentral